Molecule: RNase P RNA, 394 nt
Filed under: Micrococcus sp. TA1
Lineage: Bacteria; Bacillati; Actinomycetota; Actinomycetes; Micrococcales; Micrococcaceae
Also listed under: 1 other name
Description: RNase P class A
Rfam family: Bacterial RNase P class A
About the family: Ribonuclease P (RNase P) is a ubiquitous endoribonuclease, found in archaea, bacteria and eukarya as well as chloroplasts and mitochondria. Its best characterised activity is the generation of mature 5'-ends of tRNAs by cleaving the 5'-leader elements of precursor-tRNAs.
Source: RNAcentral
ACAGGCCGGUGGACGGUCGCAGGGCAUCGCGUGCGAUGCCGUGAGGAACGUCCGGGCACCACAGGGCAGGAUGGUGGGUAACGCCCACUCGGGGUAACCCGCAGGACAGUGCCACAGAAAGCAGACCGCCCGCACGGUGGGUGCGUGCAUCCACCGGCGCGGGUAAGGGUGAAAGGGUGGUGUAAGAGACCACCAGCGGUCCGGGUGACCGGGCCGGCUCGGUAAACCCCAUCCGGUGCAAGGCCGAACAGGAUGCGCUCGCAGGGCUGCCCGCCCGAGCAUCCGGGUUGGCCGCUCGAGCCCGUCGGCAACGGCGGGCCUAGAUGGAUGGCCGUCACCGUGGUCCGGGCAACCGGUCACGGCACAGAACCCGGCGUACAACCGGCCUGUCCCA